RNAcentral lists this ribozyme (106 nucleotides) under Aedes aegypti (yellow fever mosquito). RNAcentral's name for it is "drz-agam-1 ribozyme". It matches the Rfam family "drz-agam-1 ribozyme". Lineage: Eukaryota; Metazoa; Arthropoda; Insecta; Diptera; Culicidae. The record is from Rfam by way of RNAcentral.
GGUGCAGUAACUCCUAUCCCUACCUCCCCGUGGUGCCGCCUGGGGUACGAGUAACCGUAGGGUAACCAACCCUGGUGGGACCUUGGCCGUAUGCUGACAGGGAAGG